GACGAACGCUGGCGGCGUGCUUAACACAUGCAAGUCGAACGGAAAGGCCCUGCUUUUGUGGGGUGCUCGAGUGGCGAACGGGUGAGUAACACGUGAGUAACCUGCCCUUGACUUUGGGGUAACUUCAGGAAACUGGGGCUAAUACCGGAUAGGAGCUCCUGCUGCAUGGUGGGGGUUGGAAAGUUUCGGCGGUUGGGGAUGGACUCGCGGCUUAUCAGCUUGUUGGUGGGGUAGUGGCUUACCAAGGCUUUGACGGGUAGCCGGCCUGAGAGGGUGACCGGCCACAUUGGGACUGAGAUACGGCCCAGACUCCUACGGGAGGCAGCAGUGGGGAAUAUUGCACAAUGGGCGGAAGCCUGAUGCAGCAACGCCGCGUGCGGGAUGACGGCCUUCGGGUUGUAGACCGCUUUCGCCUGUGACGAAGCGUGAGUGACGGUAAUGGGUAAAGAAGCACCGGCUAACUACGUG
Molecule: ribosomal RNA, 468 nt
Filed under: uncultured bacterium
Lineage: Bacteria
Description: partial 16S ribosomal RNA
Rfam family: Bacterial small subunit ribosomal RNA
Source: RNAcentral